This 774-nucleotide ribosomal RNA is filed under the name uncultured Neocallimastigales. Its description in RNAcentral is "partial large subunit ribosomal RNA". It matches the Rfam family "Eukaryotic large subunit ribosomal RNA", at positions 22 to 621 of the family's 3401-position model. Lineage: Eukaryota; Fungi; Neocallimastigomycota; Neocallimastigomycetes; Neocallimastigales. The record is from RNAcentral.
AUAUCAGUCAUGCAUAGCAUAUCAAUAAGCGGAGGAAAAGAAACUAACAAGGAUUCCCUUAGUAACGGCGAGUGAAGCGGGAAGAGCUCAAAUUUGAAAUCUUCAAGGUUUUACCUUGACGAAUUGUAGUUUAAAGAAGUGUUUUCUGUUGAAGUUUUGGUAGAAGUUCUUUGGAAUAGGACAUCAUAGAGGGUGAGAAUCCCGUAUUUGACCAUUACUUUCAGCUUUGUGAUACACUUUCAAAGAGUCGGAUUGUUUGGGAAUGCAGUCCAAAAUGGGUGGUAAAUUUCAUCUAAAGCUAAAUAUUGGCGAGAGACCGAUAGCGAACAAGUACCGUGAGGGAAAGAUGAAAAGAACUUUGAAAAGAGAGUUAAACAGUACGUGAAAUUGUCAAAAGGGAAGCGUUUGACACCAGUGUUGUUUUCUCGAAAAUCAAUUAAAAAGAGUUGGAUUUUGUGUUGUAUUGACUUUAUCGGCUUUCUUCACUCUUUUCCAGCUUUUUUUAAUGCACUUUUCGUUUAACAAGUCAACAUCAGUUUCUUUUGUUGUAAAAAGGUCAUUGGAAGGUGGCUUUCUCUUCGGAGAAAGUGUUUAUAGCCUUUGACUCAUGCAAUCGGAGAGACUGAGGUCUGCAGCGUAGAUCCUUCGGGGUUAGAUACAUUUGUGCUAAGUUAUAGCUUUUCAUAGACAACUUGUUGACUAUGUUUAGUCUUGUAGCUUACUCGCUUAUGCUAUUUUACCUACGCUUAGGAUGUUGAACUCUAUCACACACAG